This is a non-coding RNA of Leptonychotes weddellii (Weddell seal), 705 nucleotides long. NCBI's taxonomy places the organism in Eukaryota, Metazoa, Chordata, Mammalia, Carnivora, Phocidae. The record is from RefSeq and is a predicted model, not a curated record.
CUUUGAAACAGUUUCUGUUAGAAGGUCCAGAUUAUGAGCUUGCCCAGGGCUCUGCAGGCAGCCUUCCCCCGGGUGCAGGAACCCAGAUACUGAAAACCUCCUUAGCCUCUCUUUCUGGGGCCAAAUAAGCCAAGUUCGUUUCACUGGGUCUUGGAUGCUCUUUCCCCGCAACUUUUAAACUAUGCCUGUUGAUGUUCUCUCCAGUUUUGCUUCGCAGAGCUUUCCCGCGGUCCACACCGGAGAGAAUACUUCCUGAGAGGAAGGUCUGGCGGAAGAGCCAAGCUGACCACCCAGACAGAACACUGGACGCGCAUCCUGUGGCAACUGCCAUCUUUGUGGAAAGACUCCUUUCAUAUGGAGCGACGCUGGGGCAUUGUCAACAAGAGAGCUCCGAUUCGGGCUCCUGCACUGCAUUUAACUGUGAUGUCUCCCCAGGAUCUUCCCAUCUCUGAUGGUUCCACAGUCUUUGUCUCAUGACUUGGGACUGGUGAAGAGUACUUGGCAGGCAUGCUAUACAAUAUUCCUCAACUUGAGUUUGAUGUUUUUCAUUUGAUUAGACAGGUUAUGGAUUUGGGGAAAGAAUAUCACAGUGGUCAUAUGCCCUUCUCAUUUGGGGGUACAUGAUAUACCUGUGUUUUAUCACAGGUGACAGCAAUCUUGAUCAUCUGGCUAAGGUGGAAUCUACCAGGUUUCUGCAAAGUAAAG